Long non-coding RNA from Herpailurus yagouaroundi (jaguarundi), 616 nucleotides. RefSeq lists it as uncharacterized. NCBI's taxonomy places the organism in Eukaryota, Metazoa, Chordata, Mammalia, Carnivora, Felidae. The record is from RefSeq and is a predicted model, not a curated record. The transcript is spliced from 2 exons.
ACUAAUUUAGAGAGCAAAUGUAUAAAACGUGUAUUUAGUUGUAUUGUUGGCUUGUACCAUAGAGAAUGUAGUAUAUUUGUCAAUGCCAACUCAAAGCAGGUUGGUUGUUGCAAAGCUGUAUUGAGCUAAGGAAAGGCCACCUGUGGGUAAUUCGAAUCCACGGGAAGAAAUGAAAAGGAUCAAAAAUGUUCAUUAAGAAGGUUAAUAGGACAAACACUGUAUACACCUUUGGGCUUGUAACAAAAAUAGACAUAAAUAUAUUUAACGAUAAUAUCACAGAAAUGGGUAAAACGGAAUAAAGGAAUAUCGGGGCAACUUCUGUAUCUAACCAGGCUUAGGUGAGUGUAAAUCUGAAGUUAAGAUGUAGAUGAUGAAUAUAAGAACAACCACUAAGGAAAUAGUGAAGAACUAUUUAGAAAACUCUUAAAAACUAUAUUAGAAAAUAUUCACUAAAUACAUAAGAAAGCAGUAAAGGAGAAAGAGAGGAACAAAAAAAAAAUACAGCAGAUAGAAAACAAAAAGUAAGGGGCAGACAUCAAUCCAACCGUAUCAGUAACAUUGAACAUGGGUGGAUCAAACCAUCAAAAGGCAGAGCUAAUCAGACUGGAUUAAAAAA